Molecule: long non-coding RNA, 820 nt
Organism: Ornithorhynchus anatinus (platypus)
Lineage: Eukaryota; Metazoa; Chordata; Mammalia; Monotremata; Ornithorhynchidae
Exons: 4
Source: RefSeq, a predicted model, not a curated record
AGGACUCACGCAGAGCCACGGGGGCGAAGCCUAAGGCAGGUAAAAGGCGAUUUCUUUUUGAAUCGCGAAAGCACGAGGGACAGAAGCAAAGGAGGAAGAAGCACGGGGAGAGAGGGAAGCAGUGGGGAAAGAAGCACGCCGAGUAGAAGCAGGAGAGCAGCCUUGCGGCACCAGUGGCCAGUGUCUCCAAGAUUUUCGCCCAAUCUUUUGCAGUGGGAUGAAGAACGGACUCCUGUGACCAGCAGACUGGUAGUGGACCCUUGGUGGAGUGAGUUUGUAGAGAAGAGCGCAGAACAUGUAGGGGAACUGCGGUAGACUUGACCUUCUCCGAGAACCCCCUGCUGCUUCAGAAAGAGAGGAAGCCAAGGUCACUUAUGAGAGAAACACAGGAGAAAAAUGGCCGGGACGUCUCCGCUUUCUCCUUAUGUGGAAGAGGACUUGGCAGCGUUUCCGUGGCAGUUGUACAGGAGUGGAGAUUCCUUGUGAGAUGGAUAUGAAGACAAUGGGAGACCAGCACUAAUUAUAUAUCGGACAAGAGUUGUUUGUUUAGAAUUGACAGGACCAACAAACAAGAGACAGUUUCCAAACUACAUUCUUAGUUUCUUAAAAAUAGGAAUAACACUUUAGAUUUAAUCCAAUCUUUCAGAAACACACCAGCCCACAAUUUUUCCCCCCAUUUUAAAUCGUGAAGUUCGAGGAGAGCCAAAUAGUAUUUAUUCUUUUUUACUGGAUCAUAAGAUUCUGGCCUAUGCCUUAGGAUAGGCGACAUUCUUCAGGGAUAGAUUAGGGGCCCAGACAAGUAGCAGUUGCUUUUAGCAGU